CACACGGCAUACAUCGCUGCGUUUACUCAUGACCAGCCCUGGGCUUUACACAGAGGUGCCUUCGGCGGGCUGCUCAAGAUGCCCCUCCUUCUUCUUGUCCUCCGGUUUCAUCGCUGGGAACAGAAGCACCUCCUUGAUAUUACUGGAAUCAGUAAGGAACAUGGUGAAGCGAUCGAUUCCCAUGCCCCAGCCAGCUGUAGGGGGAAGGCCAUACUCCAGUGCAGUGCAGAAGUUUUCAUCGAUAAACAUGGCUUCAUCAUCACCUGCAGCUUUUGCCUAAAUGAGAAAAUAAGCAGUAGGGGGUGUCUGCACAGAGUCAGGAUAGUACCAAUGCUAUUAACCCCUACCAGAAAGGAGGAAUGUGUCUGUAGCAGCCAUGUCACUGACGGAACUAAGUCCCUCUACAGCCACACAAGUCAGUGACAGAUGAAGGAACCUCAGCACCUGUAAAGUUGUGGAGGUGCCCUGUACACGUUUCCAAAUCAACCCUAAGUUCAGUUCCCUUACAACCCAGAAAUUUCUUUUCCAGGGUCAGCCUCCUCCCCGUAGUGAAAGCCAGAUCUGGAGAUACACAGCAGCAGACCAGAGCGCAAUUAAUUGCUUUCAAACAUUUCUCAGGCUGUUAAUUGAUUCCAAGUCUCCCUUUAGUGUUUACAGAAACAGUUAAGGACCAGAGUUAUUGGAAUCACCGCUAACUUUGUUUCAUGAAACAAAAUUAAGUGGUUGUUUAUUUUCCUUCAAGUAGAAAGAUUAAAACCCCACAACACUGGGAUCUUAACUGCUACUUCUUAUGUAAACUUACUCAGACAGCCUCCAAGUGCUAAAGGUGAUAAUAAUAAAUACAUCUUAAUUGUAACUGUUGAAACAACAAACAUUUGGCCUCACAUAGUUUCAAGAAAGAUUCUGCAGAAGUUCUAAAGCAAAAUACUCUGCCUGAGUCUGAAAUCCUAAAAUAUGAACUGACACUCUUCAAAUUCAAUUUCCACCUUAUCAUGAAAAUUUCCCUGAAAAUAUAAUUCUAUACACACAAUCAAAGGGCUACAAAAACUGGUUGUAAUUAUAAAGAGACAAGCGCAGCAAACAUGCACACAGCAGGCCAAAGGGCAAGGCAUGUUUAAUAGUAUUCAUUAUGAAAUUUACUAUCAAGUUAUUUAACGUAAUUAUAUUUUCCAGGGUUUGACAAUUGUUUAAUCCUCUCAGGUAUUGCAAAGCCACCAGAAAAAAUAGGAAGAACAGGAACUCCUUCUGCAGACUGUACCAUUUGACCUCAAUCACAUGUGCACAUAUACGUCCAUGUGUAUGCAUAUGUAAUUAAUAACAAAAUCAGUAUAGACAUCUAGUUCUAUACAUUUGUUGGUCUAAUAGUUUCCAAUAUGCAACUCUAUUACGUGAACCAAUUUAAAAGAACUCAGUUCUGAAAAUAGAUAUGUCAUUCCAUUCAAACUCUUACUGGACAUGGAAAAUUAUUUAAGAAGCUAGAAGUAUCGUGUUGUAUGUUUACA
RNAcentral lists this long non-coding RNA (1502 nucleotides) under Gallus gallus (chicken). Lineage: Eukaryota; Metazoa; Chordata; Aves; Galliformes; Phasianidae. The record is from RNAcentral.